UGGUUGUAGUGUUAAGUGCAUAGAAAUAAAAUGGGUAGAAAGGCCAUUUCCAUUUAAAUCAACAUAGUAGAAUGGUCAGAGCAGCAGUCAUUUUUAUUUGUACCAUUGCC
Molecule: long non-coding RNA, 110 nt
Organism: Etheostoma cragini (Arkansas darter)
Lineage: Eukaryota; Metazoa; Chordata; Actinopteri; Perciformes; Percidae
Exons: 3
Source: RefSeq, a predicted model, not a curated record